UACGUAGGGGGCGAGCGUUGUCCGGAAUUACUGGGCGUAAAGAGCACGUAGGCGGCUUAUUAAGUCAGAUGUGAAAAACCUGGGCUCAACCGAGGGAAUGCAACUGAUACUGGUAAGCUUGAGUUAAGGAGAGGAGAGCGGAAUUCCUGGUGUAGCGGUGAAAUGCGUAGAGAUCAGGAGGAAUACCAGUGGCGAAGGCGGCUCUCUGGACUUGUACUGACGCUGAGGUGCGAAAGCGUGGGGAG
This 245-nucleotide ribosomal RNA is filed under the name uncultured Thermohydrogenium sp. RNAcentral's name for it is "partial 16S ribosomal RNA". It matches the Rfam family "Bacterial small subunit ribosomal RNA", at positions 524 to 768 of the family's 1533-position model. The record is from RNAcentral. Lineage: Bacteria; Bacillati; Bacillota; Clostridia; Eubacteriales; Syntrophomonadaceae.